This 68-nucleotide transfer RNA is filed under the name Daphnia tibetana. RNAcentral describes it as "tRNA-Ile". The record is from RNAcentral. Lineage: Eukaryota; Metazoa; Arthropoda; Branchiopoda; Diplostraca; Daphniidae.
AGUCUGAUGCCUGACUUAAAAGGGUUACUUCGAUACGGUAAAUUAUGCAAUGUUCAUUGCUCAGACUA